RNAcentral lists this long non-coding RNA (1444 nucleotides) under Mus pahari (shrew mouse). Its description in RNAcentral is "lncRNA (MGP_PahariEiJ_G0003043.1)". Lineage: Eukaryota; Metazoa; Chordata; Mammalia; Rodentia; Muridae. The record is from RNAcentral.
CUCUUCCUUCCGAGGCAGCGGCGGUGGAGAACGUAGUCUGUGCCCUCCACCCCGGGACGCCUGCGCCUCCCCGAUUUCGGCUCACAAGGUCCAGGUGACUCAGUCUGGUCCCCGAAGUGGACGCCUGACCGAACGGGAUGUAUCUAACAAAGGAGGCCAAAUGCAAAUGCUAAGGGGAAAGUCUGAGCAACGGUGGACACUGAACACUAUUGGACUGGGCUGAGACAUCAGUGUGUGUGUGUGUGUGUGUGUGUGUGAGAGAGAGAGAGAGAGAGAGAGAGAGAGAGAGAGAGAGAGACCUGAAGGAUUAGGGUUAGCAGGUCGAAAUGAAGAUGUCAUGUGGAGAGAAACACUCAGAGAGGGGACUCAGCUUUGGAAAGAGCCGUGUGGCUGCAGCACUGUGGGGUCAAGAGGGUGUGGCACAUCCCACGUGCUUCACACCAAGCUUGUUGCUCUCCAUGGGGAUGUGGAGCAUAGUUUUCUGACAUGGAUAGUAUGUCGAGCAAGAGACUGCUUUUCCCCGAGCUCCCAGACAUUACAGCUUACAAGAGCUUGGAACCCUGAGAAAAUUCUACUAUUGCACUUACCUUGUAGCAUCAAGCCAGCAGAUACUAAGGACAAAGAGUAGGCAAGCCAUUAUAGCACUGCAAAGUCCCCAGUCUGGAAGUUCCAGCUGUGCAGUUGAGCCAGAAGGAAUAAGCUAGCACGUGGGUAAGCAGCAGCACACUGAUGCUUGCUGUACCAGCCUGGCAGCCUGGCUAAAAAAGUGACCACUCCUAAUGAAGCAGAGAGGAGGAGUGGGGAAAUGAGCGGGGGGAGGGGGGCACAGGCUUUUCUCAUUCCAUCCACAUUAAAUUCAUAUCCUCUGAAAAAAAAUCUGGUACUCUGACCUAUUCAAAUUUGGAGAUAGAAGAACGUGGCUGAAGGAGAUGUAGGUCAAGGCCCUGCUAGUGCCUUCCCCAGGCAGAGUCCCCGUCAUUACUAUAGUUACUGCUUCUCCACCCAUCCUGAGCUUUUAGAGAAACUUGGCAGGUAAGAGAGGGCACUCGCUAGACAGGUCAUAAAAAUGUCUGUCUAAAUAAAUCAGCAGGCAUUCCUGAAUGCCCACAGGCACCACCCCUCCCCUCAGGCAAAUGCUGCCCUCUUUCCUGGGACAUGUGGAAGAAGUACCCUAAGAAGUAACCUUGGCAUUUGUUUUGCCCAGAUAUUAACAACACGUAUAUGUAACAAUAUGUACAUUUUAUAACAAAGGUUAUAUACAUAUUUGUGUCAGAAAGGAAAAAGAAGUUAUCUGCCAAGAAUGUUUACUCAGCACCCAAAGUGCCCCUGGUAUGACCUAGAGGAGCUUCCACAAUGUGACUUUCAACUGGGCAAAUAUCAAGCUCCCGGAAAAUCAACCUAUAGCAAUCAAAGGCUCAUUCCGAGAGUCUCUUGGCACUUCAGU